CAGAAGGAAAGAAAACAAUCUUAGAAGCACGAUUUUUUUAAUGUUCUCAAUUUUGGAUCAAGCCAAGCAAAAGUUUGUUUUUAAUCGGUUUAAAUAAUUUAACAAUUUAUCGGUUUUAUCAAUUUGGAUCUAGCAAUUUAUCGAUUAAAAAUUGAACCAAUCUAUUUCUUAUUCAAUUUCAUUUCCCAAUCUCUAUCUCUCUGUUUUUUCUUUUCCUUUUUUUCUCCCCCUUUUUAAAUGAAUGCACAUCUAUAGUCCUAAGAUGAGGAAGGAAAUUAUAUCCAGCAUAGGAAAUUCAUCUUUUUUUUUUGGUUGAAGAAGCCUUCUUUUCUCUUGGGACGGCCAAAGAUUUUUUUUCUUCCGGCGAGGUUGAGGUUUGAUUUUGCACAGUAUUUGGUUGUAGCCUCUAUGUCACGAAGGUAACUCAAUUUUCUUGUUUUCUUUCCCUCUCCAUAGGCAGCGAUUUUGCUGUUUAGAUCUGUCGAUUUUGCGGAGUAUUUGGUUGUAGCCUCUGGGUCACAAAGUUAAGCAGGAAUGGAUUAGGCCUACGAUGAGAAGCAUUGCCCCAUCUCCAAGGGAUUGUCAUGGUUGUACCACCGUUGGGAAAAAACUUGUUUGUGUUUAGGGGUACGGAUGGGAAGAAUCCACUCAAGGAUUUAGUCAUCCUAGAUACAUCGACCAACACAUGGAUGUAUCCAAGAGUACGUGGGGAAGGACCAACACCACGCGAAGGACAUAGUGCAGCACUUGGGAUGUAAAAUUAUUGAUAUCUAAGAAAAAACUAAAGAGGAGGAGAUGUAGUACUACUAUAUGCUUCUACCUACUACGAUGUUCGUAUAGUUGUUGAUGCUUCUAGGUGGUUUAAUCUGGAGAGAGGUAAUGAGUCAUCUGGGUAAAGAUUUCUUGCAUAGAAUCAAGAUAGAUGGAUUCAUCGAUGUUAAGGAUAAUACAGGUAAGCUCUAACUUAGAUUAUGGAUUAUGUCAUCCCUAUACUUUAAAAGUUUUUCCUAGAUAGGCUAACCAUUUUUCAUUGAACAUUAGUUGAAGCGAGUUUGAUAAUUGAUAAUAUUUUUUCCUUCUCAAUAUGUUCAGUUUAUAAUCAUUCACAUAAAUACAAAUAUGAAUCAUACCAAAGAGAGCCUAAGGUUCUUUUCA
This is a long non-coding RNA of Macadamia integrifolia, 1155 nucleotides long. RefSeq lists it as uncharacterized. The record is from RefSeq and is a predicted model, not a curated record. The transcript has 5 exons. Lineage: Eukaryota; Viridiplantae; Streptophyta; Magnoliopsida; Proteales; Proteaceae.